CACCAUGGGGCUCUGAGCGGGACGGAGCUCAGGCCCUGCCGGCGACGCGCUCGAGCUGAAAAGUCUUGUACUCAGUCCGAGCCAGGAAGAGGAAAUCUUGACGAAGAUGUGGAGGGGGACCCAGAGGCAAAGGACGACUCAAAGAUAUGAUCUUGAGAGCCCAGCCUCCCUCUGUUAUCGCCAGCUGAACGGCUGCGCAGAACUAGAACGCAGCCACGAAAAACUAAAGAGGACUUUCUGCGUGAGGUCAUGAUGCACUCCCUGGGUGAAAAACAAGAACUGAAGAAGUGGCAGGACAGCGAGAUGAGGGACCGAAAGAAGAAUGCAGCACACCAGAAUGAAGCCACGGAGUGGCUCUUAAACAUUAUGGAGCGCCAGGUGGAAACGAUCCAGUUACUACUAGCACUGCAAACCAAGCAACUCCGCGCCUGCCCUCCCCUGCAGCCACUGUCGCAAAACUCUUUCCCAUACGCCUCCCAGACACCUCCAAAACACUCUUAUCAACCUCCAGGCUCCAGUCUGUACCGGCUGCUUUCCACUCCUGCCCCAUCGCAGUCCAGCCUUGUGGACUCCCAGUACCCACUGCACUCAACGCUCGUCCCUCUGCAGUUUAUCCCUGCUCAAGUAUAGUACCACUGCACGUACUCAAAAGGAGAAGGUUGGAUAUGAUACCUGGACAUACAUAAAUCUUUAACUGUCCCGGGACCCCACCUCCUCCUGGGAUCUUCC
Mauremys mutica (yellowpond turtle) is the source of this 729-nucleotide long non-coding RNA. RefSeq lists it as uncharacterized. The record is from RefSeq and is a predicted model, not a curated record. Lineage: Eukaryota; Metazoa; Chordata; Testudines; Geoemydidae. The transcript has 3 exons.